This 684-nucleotide long non-coding RNA is filed under the name Sus scrofa (pig). RNAcentral's name for it is "lncRNA (ENSSSCG00070024078.1)". The record is from RNAcentral. Lineage: Eukaryota; Metazoa; Chordata; Mammalia; Artiodactyla; Suidae.
GCUUGAGUCCUGGACAUGCGGAUUUCUAGAGUCAGGCAGGGGAGGCAUCCGGCCUCUGGAAGGCUGGGCUUCAGGUAGUGAAGGCGGUGUGUCACUGCGGUGGUAUCUGGGAGGCGUGCCGAGCCUCUCCGUGUGCGCGUCCCCUCCAGAAAUCUCCACAUCCCCCUGCUUCUCUCUCCACCAGAGCCGCCUCUCCUCUGCCGACUGCCUGCCUGCCUGCCUGCCUGCCUGCCUGCCUGCCUGCCUGCCUGCCUGUGCCAAGAAGCCUACCCGAAUCGAGGGAAGAGAGAAUGCCCGGGAGCGCCUUAACUUCACGCCGGGCGCAAGGGCGGAAGGGGGCCGAUUGGUUGACAGCCGGCUGCCUUGCCUUAAGAAGCAGGGCGUCUGAUGUCAAGCCGCCUCUCCCUCUGCCGACUGCCUGCCUGCCUGCCUGCCUGCCUGCCUGCCUGUGCCAAGAAGCCUACCCGAAUCGAGGGAAGAGAGAACGGUGCCCGGGAGCGCCUUAACUUCACGCCGGGCGCAAGGGCGGAAGGGGGCCGAUUGGUUGACAGCCGGCUGCCUUGCCUUAAGGAGCAGGGCGUCUGAUGUCAGUGAGUGGGGCGGUUUCGUUGGGGCGAGAGGCCUGGCCGACCUUGCGAGGGUCUUCCCCACGCCCUGGUGCAUUUCAACGUGCGGCGAGGGUGA